GAAUCCUUUGCAGACGAC
Molecule: small nuclear RNA, 18 nt
Filed under: Arabidopsis thaliana (thale cress)
Lineage: Eukaryota; Viridiplantae; Streptophyta; Magnoliopsida; Brassicales; Brassicaceae
Description: snRNA_15211
Source: RNAcentral